Gordionus sp. m RMFG-2023 is the source of this 782-nucleotide long non-coding RNA. RefSeq lists it as uncharacterized. The transcript has 3 exons. Lineage: Eukaryota; Metazoa; Nematomorpha; Gordioida; Chordodea; Parachordodidae. The record is from RefSeq and is a predicted model, not a curated record.
AACCCUGAAUUCAUAGUGAGAGCGAUUAAGCCGCGAUUUCAGCGACUGAUCAGCUGGAUCGAUCGCAGCGAUUUACAUUCAUUAAGCGAUUAUAUUAAUUCACAAAAUGAGAGCCGCCAUAUUAUUUCUCUUAUACAAAAUAAUAUUGAAGAGGAGGAGAUUAUACAAUCUUAAUAUUAAUAAAAGAAAAGAGGGCGAAUUUUACAUUCUCUUUCCUAAACUCUUAAAAAAUAAGGUUAAAUUUUUCAAUUAUAUGAGGAUGACCAAAGAAACCUUUUAUUACAUACUUGAGCAUGUAAAACCAAUAUUGCUUACAACAUCCACAAAUUUUAUAAAAUAUCCAAUAAGUGUUGAAGAAAAGCUAAUGGUUUGUUUAAGAUAUUUAGCUACAGGCUGUAGAUAUCCUACCUUAGCUUAUUCCUAUCUACAAUCCAAAAAAUUGUUAGGACCACUUGCAAAGCUAUAUGGCAAACUUUGGUGACCCAACAUAUGAUUACAGCUAACAGAAAAUAUAAUACAAACAUGUACUUUACUCCAUAACAUUAUAAUUGAUAAGGAAAAAUAUAUUCCUAUCAACCUUAAAAAAAAUUAUCCCCUUUAAUUCACUUAUUUAAUCAGCAACAAAUUUGCAAAGUUUAAUAGAAAUUUAUUAUGUUUAUAUUUAUAUAAAAAUCCCAUAUUAUAGAUAUUUAUAAAUUUAAUCAAAUCUUAUUUUGUAUUUUAUAUAAAUAUCUUGUUUUGUAUUUUAUAUAUAUUAUAAUAAAAAUAAAUGUUUAAUUAUU